CGGAGGGAGCUAGCGUUGUUCGGAAUUACUGGGCGUAAAGCGCGCGUAGGCGGCUUUGUAAGUUAGAGGUGAAAGCCCGGGGCUCAACCCCGGAACUGCCUUUAAGACUGCAUCGCUUGAAUCCGGGAGAGGUGAGUGGAAUUCCGAGUGUAGAGGUGAAAUUCGUAGAUAUUCGGAAGAACACCAGUGGCGAAGGCGGCUCACUGGACCGGUAUUGACGCUGAUGUGCGAAAGCGUGGGGAGCAAAACAGGAUUAGAUACCCUGGUAGUCCACGCCGUAAACGAUGAUAACUAGCUGUCGGGGGUCAUGGACUUUCGGUGGCGCAGCUAACGCAUUAAGUUAUCCGCCUGGGGAGUACGGCCGCAAGGUUA
RNAcentral lists this ribosomal RNA (372 nucleotides) under uncultured organism. RNAcentral describes it as "bacterial SSU rRNA". It matches the Rfam family "Bacterial small subunit ribosomal RNA", at positions 526 to 896 of the family's 1533-position model. The record is from RNAcentral.